AGAGUUUGAUCCUUGUUCAGGAUGAACGCUAGCUACAGGCUUAACACAUGCAAGUCGAGGGGAAACGACAUCGAAAGCUUGCUUUUGAUGGGCGUCGACCGGCGCACGGGUGAGUAACGCGUAUUCAACCUGCCCACCACUUGGGGAUAACCUUGCGAAAGUAAGACUAAUACCCAAUGACGUCUCUAGAAGACAUCUGAAAGAGAUUAAAGAUUUAUCGGUGAUGGAUGGGGAUGCGUCUGAUUAGCUUGUUGGCGGGGUAACGGCCCACCAAGGCUACGAUCAGUAGGGGUUCUGAGAGGAAGGUCCCCCACAUUGGAACUGAGACACGGUCCAAACUCCUACGGGAGGCAGCAGUGAGGAAUAUUGGUCAAUGGACGAGAGUCUGAACCAGCCAAGUAGCGUGCAGGAAGACGGCCCUAUGGGUUGUAAACUGCUUUUAUAAGGGAAUAAAGUGAGUCUCGUGAGACUUUUUGCAUGUACCUUAUGAAUAAGGACCGGCUAAUUCCGUGCCAGCAGCCGCGGUAAUACGGAAGGUCCGGGCGUUAUCCGGAUUUAUUGGGUUUAAAGGGAGCGUAGGCCGGAGAUUAAGCGUGUUGUGAAAUGUAGUGGCUCAACCUCUGCACUGCAGCGCGAACUGGUCUUCUUGAGUACGCACAACGUGGGCGGAAUUCGUGGUGUAGCGGUGAAAUGCUUAGAUAUCACGAAGAACUCCGAUUGCGAAGUCAGCUCACGGGAGCGCAACUGACGCUGAAGCUCGAAAGUGCGGGUAUCGAACAGGAUUAGAUACCCUGGUAGUCCGCACGGUAAACGAUGGAUGCCCGCUGUUGGCCUAAAUAGGUCAGC
RNAcentral lists this ribosomal RNA (846 nucleotides) under uncultured bacterium. Its description in RNAcentral is "bacterial SSU rRNA". It matches the Rfam family "Bacterial small subunit ribosomal RNA", at positions 8 to 844 of the family's 1533-position model. The record is from RNAcentral.